GAGCGUUGUUCGGAAGUUAUUGGGCGUAAAGGGGCGCGUAGGCGGUCCUGUAAGCCCGGCGUGAAAACCCUGGAGCUCAACUCCGGGCCUGCGCUGGGAACUGCGGGACUAGAGUCAUGGAAGGGAAGUUGGAAUUCCAGGUGUAGGGGUGAAAUCUGUAGAUAUCUGGAAGAACACCGGUGGCGAAGGCGAACUUCUGGCCAAUGACUGACGCUGAGGCGCGAAAGUGCGGGGAGC
This 237-nucleotide ribosomal RNA is filed under the name uncultured bacterium. Its description in RNAcentral is "partial 16S ribosomal RNA". It matches the Rfam family "Bacterial small subunit ribosomal RNA", at positions 536 to 769 of the family's 1533-position model. The record is from RNAcentral.